This 433-nucleotide ribosomal RNA is filed under the name uncultured bacterium. RNAcentral's name for it is "partial 16S ribosomal RNA". It matches the Rfam family "Bacterial small subunit ribosomal RNA", at positions 29 to 507 of the family's 1533-position model. The record is from RNAcentral.
AACGAACGCUGGCGGCAGGCUUAACACAUGCAAGUCGAGCGCAUCCUUCGGGGUUAGCGGCAGACGGGUGAGUAACGCGUGGGAAUCUACCUUUUGCUACGGAAUAGCUCCGGGAAACUGGAAUUAAUACCGUAUGUGCCCUUAGGGGGAAAGAUUUAUCGGCAAGAGAUGAGCCCGCGUUGGAUUAGCUAGUUGGUGGGGUAAAGGCCUACCAAGGCGACGAUCCAUAGCUGGUCUGAGAGGAUGAUCAGCCACAUUGGGACUGAGACACGGCCCAAACUCCUACGGGAGGCAGCAGUGGGGAAUAUUGGACGAUGGGCGCAAGCCUGAUCCAGCCAUGCCGCGUGAGUGAUGAAGGCCUUAGGGUUGUAAAGCUCUUUCACCGGAGAAGAUAAUGACGGUAUCCGGAGAAGAAGCCCCGGCUAACUUCGUG